Molecule: ribosomal RNA, 465 nt
Filed under: uncultured bacterium
Lineage: Bacteria
Description: partial 16S ribosomal RNA
Rfam family: Bacterial small subunit ribosomal RNA
Source: RNAcentral
AAUGAACGUUGGCGGCGUGGAUUAGGCAUGCAAGUCGAGCGAGAACUCCGCAAGGGGGGACAGCGGCGAACGGGACAGUAAUGUGUAGAUUAUCUGCCCUCAGGUCCGGGAUAGCUGCGGGAAACUGCAGGUAAUACCGGAUAACAUCUCCGGAUCAAAGGUGUGAUUCCGCCUGAGGAUGAGUCUGCAUCCUAUUAGCUAGUUGGUGGGGUAAUGGCCUACCAAGGCAUUGAUGGGUAGCAGGUGUGAGAGCACGACCUGCGUCAUUGGGACUGAGACACUGCCCAGACACCUACGGGUGGCUGCAGUCGAGAAUCUUCGGCAAUGGGCGCAAGCCUGACCGAGCGACGCCGCGUGUGGGAUGAAGGCCUUCGGGUUGUAAACCACUGUCAGAGGGGAUGAAAUGCAGGUGGGUUCUCCCAUCUGUUUGACAUAGCCUCAGAGGAAGGACGGGCUAAGUUCGUG